UGGAGAACGUUGCCAGGGAAAAUGCCACCCACGAACAGGUCAACAGCUUCAGGUUGUAGGCAGUGAUGCGGUAUGGUAUAGACCUGACACGUUUGAUCAACUAUUCAAAAUAUUAGCAGACAACUCUGGGAAGAAAACCAGGAUGGUGUUUGGUAACACCGGACAAGGUGUCUACUACAAAGACUUGAACCUUGCCAGUUUUGAUGUACUUAUCGAUAUAAGAGGAAUACAGGGUCUGUAUAGUGUUAAUUUUGAUCCAACAAUUGUACUUGGUGCUGGUUUAUCCAUUAACCAAUUGAUUGAUGUACUUACAAGAUCCCAACAAGAGCCAUCACUUGGUUACCUUGUACACAUACGAGACAUGCUAAAAAGAGUUGCUGGAACAUCUGUCCGAAGUAUGGCGUCCUGGGCAGGAAACUUAAUGAUGAAACACCUCCAUCCUGAAUUUCAGUCAGAUGUCUACGUUUCUUUGGAAUCAGCAAACGUUAA
Molecule: long non-coding RNA, 489 nt
Organism: Mytilus californianus (California mussel)
Lineage: Eukaryota; Metazoa; Mollusca; Bivalvia; Mytilida; Mytilidae
Exons: 4
Source: RefSeq, a predicted model, not a curated record